Molecule: unclassified non-coding RNA, 536 nt
Filed under: Hevea brasiliensis (rubber tree)
Lineage: Eukaryota; Viridiplantae; Streptophyta; Magnoliopsida; Malpighiales; Euphorbiaceae
Source: RNAcentral
GUCAUUUUUUUGGGUUAGUAAUUAUUAUUAUUAUUUGUGAUAGAUAGAAUGGAAGCAAAUAGGGCUAUAUAGCGUUUGAUCUCUCUGAUUUGUCGAGACAAUUGUUAGUUGAAAUUGAGUGCACUUGAUUCGAUUGGGCAUUUUUGCAGGUUUAUGAAAAUGUUUUUAAUUUGUUAAAAAAUUUUAUUUUUAUUUUUGUGUUGGUUGCGAUCGCUGUAACGUGAAUGCGGGACCCUUAUACCACACAUUAUAGUGAUGGCUGUCGGGUUGCUGUUUAUUGUCAAAAACAAGAACAGUAAGAUAUAAUAGAACUAUUGAAUCAAUUGUUUUUAAGCCAUUAAAGUUUAGAGUUCACUUAAAAGUUCUGUGAAGGGUUUUAUACUUUUGUUUGCUGUCUGGUUUAUUGGAUUGAUUGUGUAUUUGGUUUCUUUUUGGUUUUGGGAACAACUGCUAGUUUGGACCUAUAUUUUUUUCGCUAAAUUUUGCAUCUGUUGUUCUCUACAACUGUUCUUUUCAGGGCAACCAUGAGCGACGAA